AUGCUUUCUCAUGCUGCCCGUCUUGAGUUGAUUCGUUCUGUUUUUUCGGCCAUCCCUGUUUAUUAUAUGGCUAAUAUCUUGUUCACGAAGAAAUUCAUUGCUAAACUUACGGCUAUUAUUAGAAAUUUCUGGUGGACAGGUAUUAGAGAAAAUGACUCUACAAAGAGCCUUUGUCUUAGGGCAUGGAAAGACAUUUGCAAUUCUAAAGAUGAAGGAGGUCUGGGCAUAAGGAAUUUAAAGGCCAUCAACGAAAGUCUUCUUCUAGCAGCUGCUUGGAGGUUAGCUAAAUCUCACUCUUCUCAUUUGUAUCUUGUGCUCAAAGCAAAAUAUUUCCCAGCUGCUUCCAUUUGGACAGCCACUGCUACUCCUCCAAAGUCUGCCUUUUGGGCUUCUAUUCUAAAAAUGUUACCCAAGCUUAGAACUCAUUGUUUUUAUCAAAUUAUGCAAGGUAACAUUUCCAUUUGGAGCAUGCCUUGGUGUACUAAUUGGAGUUCAAUCCAUGAUCACCUUAUACCACAACAAUCUGGUUUUCUGUAUCCUGCUUUGGUUAAAGAUCUUUGGCUUCCAGGAAAAGAUUUGGAAUCAUGCUCUUAUUUUCUCGCUUUUCCAACAACCCAUGGCUUCUGCUAUUGUUCAAACUGA
This 642-nucleotide ribosomal RNA is filed under the name Triticum aestivum (bread wheat). RNAcentral's name for it is "partial small subunit ribosomal RNA". Lineage: Eukaryota; Viridiplantae; Streptophyta; Magnoliopsida; Poales; Poaceae. The record is from RNAcentral.